CAGAAGAGUUGCAGUCAUGCCUGAAGCUGUUCCUCUACCAAUUUUGAGAUUAAAUCAUUACAGAAGAUCAGUUCUUCUAUGAAAUUUAAUCAACAAUGAACUUCUACAAUGUUUCUUGAAGGAUCAAAAGUUCUGCAAGGACAGAAAACUGGCCCAGUUUGUGCAGAAAAAAGGCUCAACUUGGACAUGGUGAGCAGAUUGUCCAAAAUCCCUGACAACAUGUGAGGAGGUGACCUUGUGAUCCAACACUAAGAUGCAAUGAAGACAUGUAACUAGGACUGGAGCAUCAACUUCCAACAAGAGCUUCUUGAUUUCUUUUGAGCACCCCAUUUAGUGGGCUUUCAGAUGUAUCAAGUUGAGAAGCACCUGGCAAUGAUAGCAACAUGAUGUUUGAAACUUGGUGAAUCAAAGGUGCAUACAUAUUAAAAGCAUGGUUCUGUAUAUAAAAAUGCAAAACAAUGUAAAUGAUUAUUAGAAGGA
Long non-coding RNA from Musa acuminata AAA Group (dessert banana), 480 nucleotides. RefSeq lists it as uncharacterized. The record is from RefSeq and is a predicted model, not a curated record. The transcript is spliced from 3 exons. NCBI's taxonomy places the organism in Eukaryota, Viridiplantae, Streptophyta, Magnoliopsida, Zingiberales, Musaceae.